Molecule: ribosomal RNA, 465 nt
Filed under: uncultured bacterium
Lineage: Bacteria
Description: partial 16S ribosomal RNA
Rfam family: Bacterial small subunit ribosomal RNA
Source: RNAcentral
GACGAACGCUGGCGGCGUGCUUAACACAUGCAAGUCGAACGGAAAGGCCCUGCUGGUCGGGUACUCGAGUGGCGAACGGGUGAGUAACACGUGGGUGAUCUGCCCUGCACUUCGGGAUAAGCCUGGGAAACUGGGUCUAAUACCGGAUAGGAGCCAUUUUUAGUGUGAUGGUUGGAAAGUUUUUUCGGUGUAGGAUGAGCUCGCGGCCUAUCAGCUUGUUGGUGGGGUAAUGGCCUACCAAGGCGGCGACGGGUAGCCGGCCUGAGAGGGUGGACGGCCACAUUGGGACUGAGAUACGGCCCAGACUCCUACGGGAGGCAGCAGUGGGGAAUAUUGCACAAUGGGCGCAAGCCUGAUGCAGCGACGCCGCGUGGGGGAUGACGGCCUUCGGGUUGUAAACUCCUUUCGCUAGGGACGAAGCUUUUUGUGACGGUACCUAGAUAAGAAGCACCGGCUAACUACGUG